GUAGGUGAACCUGCGGAAGGAUCAUUAUCACGUAUUAUCCACGUUAUAAACCCUUUCUUUGAACUGUUUUCAACUUUGGUAAAUUGGGGUGUUUAUCACUCCAGCUUAUCAUAGUAUUACUUUUCUUAUCAAAUUUAUUUUUGAUAAGAAAUCAUUAACAAUAUUAACCCAUUUUGAUAAAUUGAACUAAUUUUAUUUUAUACUCUGAUAAAAAGGAGAUAAAAUUCAUUACGAAACAAAGAACAACUCUUAGCAACGGAUAUCUUGGUUCUC
Molecule: unclassified non-coding RNA, 273 nt
Filed under: rhizosphere metagenome
Description: partial ribosomal RNA internal transcribed spacer region
Source: RNAcentral